RNAcentral lists this long non-coding RNA (5970 nucleotides) under Panax ginseng (ginseng). Its description in RNAcentral is "long non-coding RNA (PGIN_LNC001314)". The record is from RNAcentral. Lineage: Eukaryota; Viridiplantae; Streptophyta; Magnoliopsida; Apiales; Araliaceae.
AUGAAUACGUGGGAGAGUUAAGCCAUAUUAGUUUUGUUUCGCGUCUUAUUUUUUUUUCUAAGGCUUCAUAACAUAGAGUUACAGAGAAGAAGAAAACACAGAGUAUUGAGAGUGAGAAAUUGAGAGGGUAAUCUCUGAGAUUUCAAGAGGAAGGAGAGGAUUGCUAAACCUUGUUAUCAUCAUUUGCUAGCAUAUAAUCAAGGUAUAAACUAUUUCUAUUUUUACUGUUAGUUUGGUGGUAUCUAUAUGUAUAUUUGAUACAAUUUGAAAAUCACGUGAAUUGUGAUGUAUAUAUGUUCAUAUAGAAUUUUAAAACUCUGUUAAUUAUCAUGUAAACAUGUUAUUUGUUAUCAAAUUCAUGAGAAAUUGGGUUUGAAGAAGAAAAUGAAAUCACAGUGUUUAUGUUCAUAAAAAGUAGCUUAGAAAGUACCAAAUUUCUUGUCCAAUAUGUGAUAUAAUCUGUAAUUUGUUGGUGAAUUGUGAAAAUAUAUUAAAAAACGAAAACAUCGUAGUUUAAAUCAUGUCUAUUGGUUAAGAAACGAAUUCGUGGCAGUCGAAUUCGUUAAAAGUAUAAAAAUGAGGAAAUUUAGGAAAAAUAUAGUUUUGAUUCUUCAAAAUGAUGUUUAUAUAAUAUUUUGUGUAUAGAAUGGUGUUUAGCAUGUAUAACUAUAAAUAUGGCAAAGUUUUAGAUGUUGAAGUGUGGUGAAAUUCUGUAAAAUAGGAUUUUUGGCCAAAGCAAAGUCUGUUUUCGAGGUUCUGCAAAUCUGAGUUUGGUGCAUCGCGCGGGCGCGCUGCCUGGCGGGCGGUUGUAGCGCGAGCGCGCAACAUUUGGGCGCGGUUGAGCGGAGUCGAGCGGGCGCGCGAUAGCCUAGUGUGUUACUGGCGCGGCCAUGCGAGUAGCCUGUCACAGACAGUGAAGUCUGCUUAAUUGCAGGUCAUGCGUAACGAACUUAGGUUAGUUUAGCAUGCAUGUUAAGGAUAUUAAAACAUAAAGUGGACUACAAUAACAUAUUGUAAGGUGUUGUAAUACAAAGUAUAAAAGAGUUUUAGGUGAUUGUUUGUGACGCCCCCAAAAUAGGUCCAAUCCAUCAAACCUAUUCUGAGUCACCAAAUACAUAGUACAGAAAACAACUAUAACUUUAUUACUACAAUUGUCGUGCAAAAUACAACAACACAUAUACUGUGAGUUUUAAUACCAACUGUGACUCAUGUCCCAACUAUGGACAACACCUCACAGUGAUACCUUACAUAAAGGUACAAUCUAGAACUGUUUUAGAAAUUAAAAUAUUUAGAAAGUGCUCAAGGAAACCUUCGUACAUAGGAGGCCAUGAAUCUAAGUUAUGAUAGAUAUCAUAUGUCCAGAGAAUUAUCCUUGGUUGAUCCAAUAGACCCCAAAGAAAAAUGAGAAGGUUACUAUCAUGUUCCUUCCAAUGGUGAGUCUUCUCUUGACAUAUAACUAUCUCCACCGUCUGUGAUUGAACAUUAUGUUUCAACCCAACUCCAAGAUCAUAUAGGUAGUGCUCGUAGAUAUACUCAGCAAGUGGAUGUGCACAACCCUUUCUUAUGAUAACACGAGAUUGUAUGUCAUUAGACAUCUUGUAUGAUAGUGGCAAAACACCCUUCCAAAGUUUGGUUCACCUCACCCUAUUGUUGUUCACCAAAAUCAAUUAUUAAGUGACGUAUAAUAUACGACACACACAUCUUAGGUCCUCAAUACAAUUAUAUAUUGUAUGUCAUGCCGUUUUAUAAUGUGUUGAGAAACUUUGAUAGUCUCGGACCACCACACUAUUCCCCUGUUAUCCCCGCUCGACCCAGCUACACUCCUAUUACUUGAAAGGAAUUGUGAAGCAAAAAGGGUGAGCACAACUAGCCUAGUAAAGAAUAUCAUAGCUAAAGAUAAUUAAAUUAUCAAUAGCCUUCAUCAGUAAUAAUUCAUAGAUUUAGAACAUAUGGUAGAUGAUAAAACUUUUCAACCAUAGUUGUAGCGGAACGAGCAAUCCAUUAGAAGAGUCAAAUAGACCAUAAAGUCUAUUAUCUUCUCCAUGUUAAAAGUCCACCAACAAUGUUUUAUCCCUGUAACAUCAAUCAACAGUUCCUGUCCACAAUCAUGUGAAUAACUCAUAAUCAUAAUUGUGGUUCUAAAUUCCUCUUCUCAUCCAGGACGAAGAUAAUUUUCAUCACAUGUCUUUACCUGAAACAUCAAAGAUCAUGGUUAUACCAAAUCACAGUUCCUGUUCAUAAUCAUACUAAUAAGUUCAUCUUUGCACUACGGGACAAAGAUAUUCAUUAACAGUUCAUCUUUGCACUACAUGCCAAUGAUAUUCAGCAACAUGUCAUCUUUGCACUACGUGCCAAAGAUAUUCAAUAACAGGUCAUCUUUGCACUACAGGCCAAAGAUAUUNNNNNNNNNNNNNNNNNNNNNNNNNNNNNNNNNNNNNNNNNNNNNNNNNNNNNNNNNNNNNNNNNNNNNNNNNNNNNNNNNNNNNNNNNNNNNNNNNNNNAUAACACCUUAAUCCAAAUGUUAUAAAUCACUUAAUAAUCUCAUAAUCUAAUAUUAUUAAUAUUACCAUAAUAUUUUAAUCAUUUCUUAAACUUAUAAACAAUUUAUUUUAAUUGUUUACACUUUACUAAUUAAUGCAUUUAAUCAUACUAAAAUGCUAAACUCAUAAGAUUUCAUCAUCAAUAACCAACAACCUCAUCAAAAAUCUGCAUAUAUCAUAUAUAAGCCAUAAAAUCCUAUUUUUCAAUUUUGUUACUUCACAUAACAUAUUUAUUUUAUUUAUUUAUAACUAGUCCAUUUUUAUGAAAAAUACCAAAUCAGUUCAAAAAAUAUUUCUUUUCUGAGAUUUAGCAUAAUAUGGUCCCAUAUUAAACAUAUAUUUUUCUCGAAAUUUUUAAAAUUCAUUUACUAUUUUUCACAUGGCCAAAACUGCCGAAUAUUUAGACAUUUAUCAUAAAUUGUACUUUUGUCCAAAAAUUCCAAAAUUUACAGAAUAUACUGAUGUUAUAUAGAUGUACUCCCAAUAAAAAUUUUACUAAUUUUGGAGUUAACCACAAGGAGUUAUAAGCGUUUACUUUUAAAAUAGUCUUUUCUCAUAAAAUCCAUAACUCUUAAUCUAUACAUCCAAAAAUUGCCAUUUUUGGACACAAUCAAGGAAACUCAUCAUAUUAUUAUUUCAAAUUUUUCUAGAAUUUUUGAAGGUCCGAAAAAAGUACGAAACUGAAAAACAUAAUAACCCUUAAAAAUCCCUUACCUCAAAAGAGCAGUACUUCUGACCGGAAUAUCGGAUGUAAAGCCGAAAGAACCUUGCACUGGAUAAAACUCUCAAAGUAUCUAAAUACUCACAAAAAUGCGCUUAAUAAUAUAGAGAGAAAGAAAACUUGUUUCUGGUGUGAUUUUCAAUUCUAACAUAAGCACCUAUUUAUAGGAAAAUGCUUGAACGCCAAAGAAGACUAAAUUAAUAAAAUAUUAAUUUUUUAUUUCCUUCUUUCUACGCCUACCUUAUUAGAAAGCCAUCAGUAAGCUAGCCAUCUUGCAACAACAAUUCAGCCCACAUGUUUUGAAAAGUAAAAGUGGGUCCCACCCAUAAUUUUAAUAAAAAAUAUUUUAUUUUCCGAAACUUCAGUAAUUCAUAGAAAAUAGCCCGUUUAUCAGAAAAAUACAAAUUUUAUAUCCAUUCCGCAUGAAAUCGAAUUCUCUACAACUUUGUAUCUUUGAGUUUUUCCAAAUUCCAAACAGAAAAUAUCCGAAAUCCAUAAACGGAUGAUUUUCAACACCGUUUCAACACCUUUUAAAAUUCAUAACAAAUCAUGCGUUAAUUUUCAACGGUUCAAAAUUUGUGGACAUAUACUCAACUCAUAUAUGUAUAACAUAUCCAAAAAUCACAAUGAUCCAACGGUCGGAUUAAAAUUACAACUCACGCAAUAAAGCUUUAAGAACACCGAUUUGAGUUUUUAAUACCUCCAAUCCGACAAAAUACUGAUAAAACACCUCAACAUUAAUUCCUUCAUUUAUAACCACAUAAAUAAAUCCAUCAUUUAUAUCCACAUCAAAUAAAUAUUUCCUUAUCAUAUAAAUCAAUAAUUAAUUAUUCACAAAUAAUAUUACAGAAUCACAAUUAUGACAACCAGGCCGUUCCCAGGAAAGAGGGGGCUUUCCAAUAAGGAUUUCUCCUUACUGGCGCGCAAUUAGGUGACCAAACCUCUCCUUAACAGAACUUUCUAGACAUUGCCAAUAAUGCUAUCUAAUAAUAUUAUUCAAAUAAUAUGAAUUAUUGAUCUGAUAAUGGGAAAUACUGUGCAGUGACAAUUAUUGAAACAACAAUAAUAUAAAAUAUCAACGCAGCAAUUAUUGAAUCAAUAAAAUAAAAUAUUGAACAGUAACUACUGUAACAAUUAUUGAGUAGUGCGUCUUACUUACGAAUCAAUAAUUCAACAAUACUGUGCAAUACCGUGUACUACUAUGCAACCAUGCAUAUUAUUGUAUUUUAACCACCAGGUAACCUAAUAGUGUUAACGGUAACAAUUACGCCGUUAUUCAUAAAAACUCAUACUUUGUCGUUUUCUUCAUCUGGCAGUUAUUCCGUUAUGAGGCCCACAAAUGACUGCGCCGUCGUAUGAAUAUUCCCCGACAACAAGAAUAUUCUACGACCAAACGAAUAUUCCCCGACAAAAAUGAGUAUUUUAUAACCACUUGCGUAUUUUAAAAAUUUUACAUAUAUCACCCUUAACUUUAAACUUUUAUCAAUUUAACCAUUUACUGAAUAAUAAUUAUAAGAAAAAUUGAAUACUUUUAUUUCAUAAAAUUCGGGGUCUUACAUUGUUAAUUGAGUUAUAUAAUGAAAUUAAAAGUGAUAUUUUCAAAAAUUAGAAAUGAGCGAGUAAGUUAUGUUGGCUGGUAAUGCGAUUUCAGAUUUGUUAAGUAUGUUAACCUAAAUUGUUAGGUGCUAGGUUAGGGUUAUGACCUAAAUGAUGGUUUAAUAUCCAUAGUGUUAAUAUUCGUACAACUAAUUGUUGUUGCGAUUGAAAUGAUAUGUGUAGGGUAAUUGGAGAUUAUUUUACACUUGUGUAGCUUACAAAUAAGGCAAGUUCCUAAACCUUAACUCUUUACAUUGAGCAAGCUUUCUAACUUCAUUCUUUUCAUAUUGAAUGCAUGUUCCCAUUCCCAAAUCGUUAUUGUACAAGUUCCUAAAAUUCUUGUAAGGUUGAGCAAGCCUAGUUUAUCUUGAUUAUGUUUGUGCAAGCUCUUGUAACCUAAUUCGUUACAUCGAGCGAGCUUUAUUUUCCUUAUUAUCAUUCGAAGCAUAUAUUGUUCUAAUACAUUGGUUCAUAGAAGAUUGUUCUAAACUCCUUUGAAUAUAGCACUUUACAUGUAUAUCAUGUUAUUCAGUUAUAUAUAUUGUUGAUAUCCGAACUUUGACUCUAAUAGCCUUGUUCAGCUAUACAUUCUUGUAUUAAACCUUUAUUGAUGGAAGUUGAAUAGUGUUCUAAAAUUCUAGAGACACUGAUAAGCUAGUUACAAACUAAACUUUCUUUAGUGCGGAAAUUCUAAAUUCAAACUGAGACGAACAACCUUAAUAUAGGAGAUUUUUGUACGUGUAACGUUUAGAUGUUUGUGCACAAUACAUGGUACAGAGGGCUGAUCCCCCUAAGUACGUUAAGAAGGGUCUGUACAGUUUAAUGACUGUUAAGGUUAAGGUAAUAAUACCUAUAUACCGGAGACAUAGUUCGUGGUCUUAAGACCCUCAGACAUUGAUUUCGAACUUGUUUUCUAUUCUUAAUUCACAGAACAAGUUCAUUAUUGCUAGCAUUCGUUGUUCAUUCUCAUGUUGUUAUUAUUACUACUUCCUAUAUUAGUGAGCAAUUGUUUGCUCACUCUUGCAUUUAACACUGCAGCUAAAGUUGAGAAAGUUAAUGAGCCGUCUACUAGCAAAGAAAAGGGAAAGAUGUCCAAAUGUUGAAGACGUAUGA